RNAcentral lists this ribosomal RNA (495 nucleotides) under uncultured bacterium. RNAcentral describes it as "partial 16S ribosomal RNA". It matches the Rfam family "Bacterial small subunit ribosomal RNA", at positions 28 to 507 of the family's 1533-position model. The record is from RNAcentral.
GACGAACGCUGGCGGCGUGCCUAAUACAUGCAAGUCGAACGCUGAAGGAGGAGCUUGCUCUUCUGGAUGAGUUGCGAACGGGUGAGUAACGCGUAGGUAACCUGCCUGGUAGCGGGGGAUAACUAUUGGAAACGAUAGCUAAUACCGCAUAAUAGUAGAUGUUGCAUGAUAUUUACUUAAAAGGUGCAAUUGCACCACUACCAGAUGGACCUGCGUUGUAUUAGCUAGUUGGUGGGGUAACGGCUCACCAAGGCGACGAUACAUAGCCGACCUGAGAGGGUGAUCGGCCACACUGGGACUGAGACACGGCCCAGACUCCUACGGGAGGCAGCAGUAGGGAAUCUUCGGCAAUGGACGAAAGUCUGACCGAGCAACGCCGCGUGAGUGAAGAAGGGUUUCGGAUCGUAAAGCUCUGUUGUAAGAGAAGAACGAGUGUGAGAGUGGAAAGUUCACACUGUGACGGUAGCUUACCAGAAAGGGACGGCUAACUACGUG